RNAcentral lists this transfer RNA (74 nucleotides) under Novosphingobium pentaromativorans US6-1. It matches the Rfam family "tRNA". Rfam says of the family: Transfer RNA (tRNA) molecules are approximately 80 nucleotides in length. Their secondary structure includes four short double-helical elements and three loops (D, anti-codon, and T loops). Further hydrogen bonds mediate the characteristic L-shaped molecular structure. tRNAs have two regions of fundamental functional importance: the anti-codon, which is responsible for specific mRNA codon recognition, and the 3' end, to which the tRNAs corresponding amino acid is attached (by aminoacyl-tRNA synthetases). tRNAs cope with the degeneracy of the genetic code in two manners: having more than one tRNA (with a specific anti-codon) for a particular amino acid; and 'wobble' base-pairing, i.e. permitting non-standard base-pairing at the 3rd anti-codon position. The record is from Rfam by way of RNAcentral. Lineage: Bacteria; Pseudomonadati; Pseudomonadota; Alphaproteobacteria; Sphingomonadales; Sphingomonadaceae.
GCGCCCGUAGCUCAGCAGGAUAGAGCACCAGAUUCCUAAUCUGGGGGCCACUGGUUCGAAUCCAGUCGGGCGCA